Panthera pardus (leopard) is the source of this 105-nucleotide small nuclear RNA. Lineage: Eukaryota; Metazoa; Chordata; Mammalia; Carnivora; Felidae. The record is from Ensembl.
GUUGCUCAGUAGCAUGCAUAUACUAAACUCAUAAUGGCAAAGAGAAGAUUAGCAUGGACCCUGUGAAAUACUAACAUGUAAAUUCAUGAAGCAUUCCAUAUUUUU